This 1348-nucleotide ribosomal RNA is filed under the name uncultured bacterium. Its description in RNAcentral is "bacterial SSU rRNA". It matches the Rfam family "Bacterial small subunit ribosomal RNA", at positions 28 to 1381 of the family's 1533-position model. The record is from RNAcentral.
GACUAACGCUGGCUGCGUGCUUAGCACAGUGCAAGUCGAACGAUGAAGGCUAGCUUGCUAGGUGGAUUAGUGGCGAACGGGGGAGGAAUGCGGGAUUAGCCUACCGUUAGCUCUGGGAUAAGCGUGGGAAACUGGGUCUAAUAGCGGAUACGACCAAUCUCCGCAUGGGGUGUUGGUGGAAAGCGUUAUGUAGUGGUUAUAGAUGGGCUCGCGGCCUAUCAGCUUGUUGGUGAGGUAACGGCUCACCAAGGCGACGACGGGUAGCCGGCCUGAGAGGGUGACCGGCCACACUGGGACUGAGACACGGCCCAGACUCCUACGGGAGGCAGCAGUGGGGAAUAUUGCACAAUGGGCGCAAGCCUGAUGCAGCGACGCCGCGUGAGGGAUGACGGCCUUCGGGUUGUAAACCUCUGUUAGCAGGGAAGAAGAGAGAUUGACGGUACCUGCAGAGAAAGCGCCGGCUAACUACGUGCCAGCAGCCGCGGUAAUACGUAGGGCGCGAGCGUUGUCCGGAAUUAUUGGGCGUAAAGAGCUUGUAGGCGGUUUGUCGCGUCUGCUGUGAAGGCCGGGGCUUAACUCCGUGUAUUGCAGUGGGUACGGGCAGACUAGAGUGCAGUAGGGGAGACUGGAAUUCCUGGUGUAGCGGUGGAAUGCGCAGAUAUCAGGAGGAACACCGAUGGCGAAGGCAGGUCUCUGGGCUGUAACUGACGCUGAGAAGCGAAAGCAUGGGGAGCGAACAGGAUUAGAUACCCUGGUAGUCCAUGCCGUAAACGUUGGGCACUAGGUGUGGGGGACAUUCCACGUUUUCCGCGCCGUAGCUAACGCAUUAAGUGCCCCGCCUGGGGAGUACGGCCGCAAGGCUAAAACUCAAAGAAAUUGACGGGGGCCCGCACAAGCGGCGGAGCAUGCGGAUUAAUUCGAUGCAACGCGAAGAACCUUACCAAGGCUUGACAUAUACUGGACCGCAUCAGAGAUGGUGUUUCCCUUCGGGGCUGGUAUACAGGUGGUGCAUGGUUGUCGUCAGCUCGUGUCGUGAGAUGUUGGGUUAAGUCCCGCAACGAGCGCAACCCUCGCUCUAUGUUGCCAGCACGUUAUGGUGGGGACUCAUAGGAGACUGCCGGGGUCAACUCGGAGGAAGGUGGGGAUGACGUCAAAUCAUCAUGCCCCUUAUGUCUUGGGCUUCACGCAUGCUACAAUGGCCGGUACAGAGGGUUGCGAUACUGUGAGGUGGAGCUAAUCCCUAAAAGCCGGUCUCAGUUCGGAUUGGGGUCUGCAACUCGACCCCAUGAAGUCGGAGUCGCUAGUAAUCGCAGAUCAGCAACGCUGCGGUGAAUACGUUCCCGGGCCU